Molecule: ribosomal RNA, 933 nt
Filed under: Triticum aestivum (bread wheat)
Lineage: Eukaryota; Viridiplantae; Streptophyta; Magnoliopsida; Poales; Poaceae
Description: partial small subunit ribosomal RNA
Source: RNAcentral
AUGCCCUAUACAAUUACUUCUGACAAAGACAAAAUAUUUACAAGUCACUUCUGGAAAGAGCUGUUCAGGUUGUGGGGCACCAAACUACAAAUGUCCACUGCCUACCACCCCCAAACUGAUGGGCAAACCGAGAGGGUUAACCAGUGUUUAGAGAUGUAUUUGAGAUGUGCUGUUUCUGAACACCCAAAGCAAUGGUCUCAGUGGCUCCCCCUUGCCGAAUUCUGGUACAAUUCAUCUUACCACUCGUCUCUGGGCUGCACUCCUUUCAAGGCUGUUUAUGGCCAUGAACCAAAUUUGGGGCAGUUACCUCAACCCUUGCAAGCCACACAUCCUGAUCUGCACGGUUGGCUGCAAGAGAGACAUCACUAUUCUGAGUUCCUCCAUCAACACUUGAACAGAGCCCAAACAAAAAUGAAGUCUGACGCGGAUAAGAAGAGGUCUCCCAGGGAAUUUACAGUAGGAGAAAAAGUAUUUCUGAAGCUGCAACCAUACGCUCAAGCAUCCGUGGUCAAUCGACCUUAUCCAAAACUAGCAAUGAAGUUCUUCGGGCCUUUUGAAAUACUGGAAAAGAUUGGACCCGCUGCUUAUAAACUGCUCCUCCCUUCAGGCAGCCUAGUGCAUCCAGUGUUCCACACAUCUCAACUGAAACCUCAUGUGCCAGACCAUACUCCAGUGUACAGUACUCUUCCUGAACCACCACUACUUGAUCGAGCCGAUUUGGUGACUGAAGAAAUUCUGGACAGGCGUUUGGUUAAGAAAGGUAAUGCUUCUCUAGCUCAGGUACUCAUUCGUUGGACUGGUCUUCCCGCUUCUUCGGCCACUUGGGAGGACUAUGACACAGUGAGGCAGCGAUUUCCACUGGCUCCAGCUUGGGGACAAGCUGUUUCUUCAGGCGGGGGUACUGUCAGCGCGAGUGAGCUGCCAGGCGAUUAA